Molecule: long non-coding RNA, 727 nt
Filed under: Mytilus galloprovincialis (Mediterranean mussel)
Lineage: Eukaryota; Metazoa; Mollusca; Bivalvia; Mytilida; Mytilidae
Source: RNAcentral
UUCUUUUUCCCGAAUCGAUUUUCAUUUCCUUAUUCGAUGUCUAUUUCCUUAUUCGAAUUCCAUUUCCUGAUUCGAUUUUCAUUUCCUUAUUCGGUUUCUUUUUCCUUUUUCAAUAUUCAUUUCCUUUUUCGGUUUCUAUUCCCUUAUUCGGUUUCUAUUUCCUUAUUGGAUUUUCAUUUCCUUAUUCGAUUUCCAUUUCCUUAUUCGAUUUCUGUUUCCUUAUUCGGUUUCUAUUUCCUUAUUCGGUUUCUAUUUCCUUAUUCGGUUUCUAUUUCCUUUAUCGGUUUCUGUUUCCUUAUUUGAUUUCUUUUUCCUUAUUAAAUUUUCAUUUCCUUAUUCGGUUACUAUUUCCUUAUAUUUUCAACUAUCAAACAUCAACACACACCAAACUGGAUGUAAUUGAAAGAUAUCUAGAGGUCAAUAUACAGGCUCGAACAAAAGACAAAAAAGGAAAAAUAUAGCGAGCUUUUUUGGGAUGAAGAUGUAGUAAAGACCGAACGUCAGUUUUAGUCGGAUAUACUUUAAUGUUAGUCUUACAUGUUGUUCUGGAACUCAUUCCUCAUUUAUUCGUCAAGUGAUCAUCAUUUUAUAUUGUUAACGUUUCAUUGCGUACAUCGCUUAAUGUGCGCCAGUUUUAGGAGUUUUAUACAGGACAGUGUAGGAAUCCAUGAUACUUUCCCCUUUCUCUGAAUAACGAAAACUGCUCAGCGUGUCAUGUGCACAACUA